AACAGUGAACGAUAAAGACCGAUCCAAAAGAAAACUCACCUAUAAACGAUAAACGACACAAGCCUUGUAUCCAAAGCACCACAACAACUGUCGAAAAUAAUGACAAUCAUGUAGACAAUUAGACUGUUAGAAGGAGCCAGAGAGCAAAAACACAACUCAUUCCAAUUAACAUUUGCAGUAGUUAUGAAGGCUUUACCUCAUGCGUUUCAGCUCCACCGAAUUAUCUUUACCUCAAGCUCGCACAACAGUUGUGUUCUCAUGCUUUCUCAGACCAUUGAAAUCAGGAACACACUCUUUGGAUACCGGUUAGGGUUAGCAACCUUCAAAAACCAAAAAUGCGUUCUAACCUUCAACCAACACAAAACAAAAAAACAAAGAAAUCGAAGUGGAAUGAUCUUGAAACGUGAAUUUGUGCUGCGAACGGAGCUACCAAUGCCACAAAUGGGGGACCUAGGGUUCAGCUCGCACAAAACUAGCGUUCGGUUUUCACAAAUUGGAAAAAGGAGGGAAAGUGACUUUUAACCUUCCAGAAUGUUAUUAAUUUCGCCCUAAAUUUUUUUUGCUACAUUAUAAUUAAUAUAUAAUACGUAAACUAAAAUAAAAUGUUAAUUUUUAUAGGUGGACUAAUCUC
RNAcentral lists this long non-coding RNA (631 nucleotides) under Phaseolus vulgaris (common bean). RNAcentral describes it as "long non-coding RNA (PVUL_LNC001358)". Lineage: Eukaryota; Viridiplantae; Streptophyta; Magnoliopsida; Fabales; Fabaceae. The record is from RNAcentral.